RNAcentral lists this ribosomal RNA (784 nucleotides) under uncultured bacterium. Its description in RNAcentral is "bacterial SSU rRNA". It matches the Rfam family "Bacterial small subunit ribosomal RNA", at positions 8 to 796 of the family's 1533-position model. The record is from RNAcentral.
AGAGUUUGAUCAUGGCUCAGAAUCAACGCUGGCGGCGUGCCUAACACAUGCAAGUCGAGCGAGAAAAGGGGGGCAACUCCCUGAGUAAAGCGGCGCACGGGUGAGUAACACGUGGGUAAUCUGCCCUGGAGUGGGGAAUAACACCGGGAAACCGGUGCUAAUACCGCAUACGAUCACAGAGUCUGCGGAUUUUGUGAUGAAAGGAGCAAUUCGCUCUAGGAGGAGCCCGCGGCUGAUUAGCUAGUUGGUGAGGUAAUGGCUCACCAAGGCUACGAUCAGUAUCCGGUCUGAGAGGACGGUCGGACACACUGGAACUGAGACACGGUCCAGACUCCUACGGGAGGCAGCAGUGGGGAAUUUUUGGCAAUGGGGGCAACCCUGACCAAGCAACGCCGCGUGGGUGAUGAAGUCUCUUGGGACGUAAAACCCUUUCGACGGGGAAGAAAACCGCAAGGUUUGACGGUACCCGUAGAAGAAGCCCCGGCUAACUCCGUGCCAGCAGCCGCGGUAAUACGGGGGGGGCAAGCGUUGUUCGGAAUUACUGGGCGUAAAGGGCGCGUAGGCGGCUCGCUAAGUUGGAUGUGAAAACUCUGGGCUCAACCCAGAGCCUGCAUCCAAAACUGGCGGGCUAGAGUUCUGGAGGGGGUAGCGGAAUUCCUGGUGUAGCGGUGAAAUGCGUAGAUAUCAGGAGGAACACCGGUGGCGAAGGCGGCUACCUGGACAGAAACUGACGCUGAGGCGCGAAAGCUAGGGGAGCAAACAGGAUUAGAUACCCUAGUAGUCC